GUUUUCACUUCCGUUCUCAUUUUGGUACCGGGAAUUUUAAAGCGUUAAGUUAUCACGGCAGAUGAAGUAUAGAACACAUUAAUCGUCACCGAAAAUGUGCGGUAUACUAAACGGCAGCUGAGCUAAAAUUCCGACUAAAACAUGACACGGGCGAUGCUAAUAAACAAAUAGUUUACAUGUUUAUCGUAAAAAUUAUGAAAUAUCCGAUUUAUAUGAGUUUAUCUUACAAUUCCCCCGACUUCCAAUGCAAGGCUGAUUUCGGUAGUGGUGACUUCCAAUACAC
Molecule: non-coding RNA, 283 nt
Organism: Paramuricea clavata
Lineage: Eukaryota; Metazoa; Cnidaria; Anthozoa; Malacalcyonacea; Plexauridae
Source: the annotation of a GenBank genome assembly